Molecule: long non-coding RNA, 611 nt
Organism: Populus euphratica (Euphrates poplar)
Lineage: Eukaryota; Viridiplantae; Streptophyta; Magnoliopsida; Malpighiales; Salicaceae
Exons: 2
Source: RefSeq, a predicted model, not a curated record
UUUUUUGCUUGAGUCCAGCUGGUGAUACACCGUCAUCUGCCAUAUUAUUCGAUGCUAUUGUUUGUGGGUGCAUCCCAGUAAUAGUUAGUGAUGAACUGGAGCUGCCUUUUGAAGGAAUACUUGAUCACAGAAAGGUACGCUCCCUGUUAUUAUUCUCUGCAUGUUUUGUAAGCUUUAAGUUCAGGCUUUCAUUUGGAUUUGUUGAAACUUUUGGGCUUUGACAAAAAGGAAUGAUGCCAAGGUAUUGUAGAGUUAUCCUGUGUUCGGAUGGGGAGGAAUGCUAGAAUCGGCAUGUUGAUGAGUAAAUUUUGCAGAGAAUAGUAGGCAUGUGCUUGUCUCUUGGUAUGAUCAGUGAGUGCCAGUUCUUAUGGUUUGAUGCAUUGCAAAAGCUCCUUGUUGCAUCCAUGAUGUUUGAACAAUUCCAUGGAGCAUCUUUCCUGUUACAAAAGAUUGUAGCAAUGGAUGGUCUGGUAAGUACAAUAUGGAUAAAUCAUUACUUUUUCUCCUCAAAAGUUUCAAGCGUUGGUACGAGGUUGUAGGAAGUUGUAACGAGGAUUGCUGAUUAUUAUGGCAGGCAUGCUUUCAAUAAUGAUUGUUACAGGAUUUAUGCU